This 492-nucleotide ribosomal RNA is filed under the name uncultured bacterium. RNAcentral describes it as "partial 16S ribosomal RNA". It matches the Rfam family "Bacterial small subunit ribosomal RNA", at positions 29 to 507 of the family's 1533-position model. The record is from RNAcentral.
AGUGAACGCUGGCGGUAGGCCUAACACAUGCAAGUCGAACGGCAGCACAGUAAGAGCUUGCUCUUACGGGUGGCGAGUGGCGGACGGGUGAGGAAUACAUCGGAAUCUACUUUUUCGUGGGGGAUAACGUAGGGAAACUUACGCUAAUACCGCAUACGACCUACGGGUGAAAGCAGGGGAUCUUCGGACCUUGCGCGAUUGAAUGAGCCGAUGUCGGAUUAGCUAGUUGGCGGGGUAAAGGCCCACCAAGGCGACGAUCCGUAGCUGGUCUGAGAGGAUGAUCAGCCACACUGUAACUGAGACACGGUCCAGACUCCUACGGGAGGCAGCAGUGGGGAAUAUUGGACAAAGGGCGCAAGCCUGAUCCAGCCAUACCGCGUGGGUGAAGAAGGCCUUCGGGUUGUAAAGCCCUUUUGUUGGGAAAGAAAAGCAGCAGGUUAAUACCCCGCUGUUCUGACGGUACCCAAAGAAUAAGCACCGGCUAACUUCGUG